This 366-nucleotide ribosomal RNA is filed under the name Ceratobasidiaceae sp. CBS 573.83. Its description in RNAcentral is "eukaryotic LSU rRNA". The stretch from base 305 to 366 matches the Rfam family "Eukaryotic large subunit ribosomal RNA", at positions 1 to 62 of the family's 3401-position model. The record is from RNAcentral. Lineage: Eukaryota; Fungi; Basidiomycota; Agaricomycetes; Cantharellales; Ceratobasidiaceae.
GUGAAUCAUCGAAUCUUUGAACGCACCUUGCGCUCCUUGGUAUUCCUUGGAGCAUGCCUGUUUGAGUAUCAUGAAAUUCUCAAAGUAAAUCUUUUGUUAAUUCAACUGGUUUUGCUUUGGACUUGGAGGUCUUUGCAGAUUUCACGUCUGCUCCUCUUAAAUGCAUUAGCUGGAUCUCAGUAUAUGCUUGGUUCCACUCGGCGUGAUAAGUAUCACUCGCUGAGGACACUGUAAAAAGGUGGCCAGGAAAUACAGAUGAACCGCUUCUAAUAGUCUAUUAAGUUAGACAAUUAAUUUUAAGAUCUGAUCUCAAAUCAGGUAGGACUACCCGCUGAACUUAAGCAUAUCAAUAAGCGGAGGAAAAGA